AAGACUUUUGCAAUUCCGUUAUAAAACUGUCGCAUUUUGCUAUAAAACCAUCAGGAGUUUAAAUUGUUGCUUGGGAAUCUUUGAUUUUUUGCUCUAAGUGUCAUGUCAGUGUGAUCAGUGAUAGUAAGUCAUGCAUGAUUCUUACCGCAAUUGAAAUCUUCCAAUUCGAUCGUUGUCACUUUUCAAAGAAUUUAUCUUUCACACUAAACAUUAAAAGAAAAACACAAAUUACUAUAUGAGAUGCUUAUUUGCUACAUUCCACCGAAUCAAUGAAAUUCAUCAUACAGGACAAGUCGAUGUAGGAAUUUUUAAAUUUUGAUUGUUAGUUAUCUAUGAAUGUAUCUGAUAAAGAUUGAAACGACUUUAUCAUAAAUCUAUUCAAUAAUCGAAACACUAAUUGAUAACAUUUAACUUCUCUUAGCCAUCCUUCAACAGAGCAUAAGCAGAUUGUUGCGAGAUCCCUUGUAAACAAAUACCCUGUUUUAAGCUCCAAUAAUCAGAAUAACCCAGCGGCAUUCUGGUUCAACAAAAAUGGAAAUGGCCAAGGAAAACACACCGGUAAACUGCAGUGGCAUCUAGGAUACCUAGUGAAAAAACACAAUAAAAGGAAGCAAACUCCGAGAAAAACUGUUCUUCAAAUCGACACAGAUUUAAACUCUUCAGAGGAAGAACUCAAUUUAUCGAUUUCUUCCCAAAAGCUUGAUGAAAUUGUUUCCAAGUUGAAAUUUAUGUCCCCAAUUGCUGAAUCUCGUACAAUUAUUGAACAAGACUGGCAGUUAACAUACACUAUUAGAACAGAAAUUAAGAAACAAGCAGUAGGGGGUGAAAAAAUUGAGAAGAUGUUCAACACAUUUCCUUUGAUAACAGCGUACCAUGGGCACCUGGUUUCUUUAGACUUUGAUCGCUUAUUCCCACACGCAAAACCAUUUGCGGAAAUAUGGUCACAACUGGAAGAUAGAAUAUUGGAAAAGUUUCAUUACUUGUUCACCGAAAUACCACACAAUUUCAUCAGAGUGUUAGCCAUAAUUAAAAAAAAACUUCCGACGCGUGGCAUAAAAAGAACAUCAGAUUUGAAAUUUCAAUCGAUAUUAGAAGAAAUUAUCGAAUGGAAAUCAAUUGACAAGACUUACGAUUUUCAGUGUAAAUCACCAAAAUUGAUCGUUGUCGGAGAACAAUAUUGCGACGGUUUCUCCUAUGGUGUUUUUUCGAAAAAAAAAUGCCUUUUGGAAAUGAGCUUGAAAAGGCAUUCGAAAUGUUCAUUAAAACACACUUCGUUCUAGGAGCGUGUUUUGAUCCGUCAAAUAAAAAUUUUUAUAAUUUUUUCACCGGUGCUGUAUUAGCUGUUGAAAACGUUACAACAACUGUUGACACAUUUUUGGCUGUAGUCAACAAUUUGAAAAACCAAUAAACACACUCACACACACACACACACACACACACACACACACACACACACACACACACACACACACACACACACACACACACACACACACACACACACACACACACAUACACACACACACACACACACACACACACACACACACAACAUAAAAUACGACGUUAGGGGCAAACUUUUCUGAUCCGGAAUAUAACUUCAAAAAGGUUAGAGUCUUAAAAACCAUUCUUUCUUCUAAUAACUGUAUUUCUAGAUUUCUGCAUGCCUUUUUCCGGAAUUGUUGUAACUGAAUAAAACUUUGUAACGUUUAUGUACGAUUAUUGAUUUUAUUCUUUUCACAGGUUAUGAAUCAUGCAAGGCACCGAUCGAAUCAUUGUGAUUGAUAUGAUGAUUUGUGUGAUCAUUUGACAAAUUGGUUUUAAUAGUAUUUUUAAAUAGCUAACUGCUAAACUCACAGAAGAAACUACAUCGUCACACAGAUCACUUGUGGAACUUCACAUUCGCUGGCCCUCAGCAAUUGGGGUUAGUUGUUCCGCUGAAGCUCUAGUGCCCUCGGCCAGCGGGUCACGACAAUAACGAUCUCAGCAAUCACCAUAAUCAUCGUCCAGGUGGCUUCGGCUCACUAUUACUGCGCCUGGCUCUAACGCAUUCCCGGGUGCUGUUUGCCUGGGGACCGAAUGCCUAUGGGACUAGACCUAGGUCACAUUGUUGGCGGCAUUCCGAUUCACCGUUUCCAAAUCAGGAGCCAUUUUCGAUUGGGGAGCUGAUAGGAAGCGUAACUAUCCAAGUUAGAUGCUGUCGAAGGCACACUAUGGCUGCGUAUCAUCUCGGGGGGAAAAUCUACGCCUUCGGAUUGGAAGGGGUCGGUCAGCUUGGUAUAGUCGCAAGUGUCAAAUUGAACACCCCCCAACUUGUUCGGUGACUAUGAAUUGAUUCCUGUUCUAUGUGUUACGUGAUGUUGCAAAAAACUAGCAACUGCCUUUUUUCGGACUACCGAGGGUACAACCCAGCUUCGAAGAUCCUAAUGCUGUUCUCUCAGAACUGCUAAACUCACUGGAGAACUACAUCGUCACGCAGAUCACCUGUGGAACAUCACACUCGCUGGCCCUCAGCAAUUGGGGUUAGUUGUUCCGCUGGGGCUCCAACGCUCUCGGCCAGCUGGUUACGACAAUAACGAUCUCAGCAAUCAGCGGGUUCCGCGGAUGCUCAAAGCCAUUGCUAACAUAAUCGUCCAGGUGGCUUCGGCUCACUUCGGCACACUCACCGAAUGCCUCUGGGACUAGGCCUCGGUUACUCCAACGAGUAGGUUCCAAUGCCAACACUGAUCACAUCGUUGGCCGGCAUUCCGAAUACAUUUGAUGCCUGUGACGAAUAUCGUCGCUUCGCCGUUUCCAAAUCAGGAGCCAUUUUCGAUUGGGGAGCUGAUAGGAAGCGUAACUAUCCAAGUUAGAUGCUGUCGAAGGCACACUAUGGCUGCGUGUCAUCUCGGGGGGAAAAUCUACGCCUUGGGAUUGGAAGGGGUCGGUCAGCUUGGUAUAGUCGCAAGUGUCAAAUCCAACACCCCCCAACUUGUUCGGUGACUAUGAAUUGAUUCCUGUUCUAUGUGUUACGUGAUGUUGCAAAAAACUAGCAACUGCCUUUUUUCGGACUACCGAGGGUACAACCCAGCUUCGAAGAUCCUAAUGCUGUUCUCUCAGAACUGCUAAACUCACUGGAGAACUACAUCGUCACGCAGAUCACCUGUGGAACAUCACACUCGCUGGCCCUCAGCAAUUGGGGUUAGUUGUUCCGCUGGGGCUCCAACGCUCUCGGCCAGCUGGUUACGACAAUAACGAUCUCAGCAAUCAGCGGGUUCCGCGGAUGCUCAAAGCCAUUGCUAACAUAAUCGUCCAGGUGGCUUCGGCUCACUUCGGCACACUCACCGAAUGCCUCCGGGACUAGGCCUCGGUUACUCCAACGAGUAGGUUCCAAUGCCAACACUGAUCACAUCGUUGGCCGGCAUUCCGAAUACAUUUGAUGCCUGUGACGAAUAUCGUCGCUUCGCCGUUUCCAAAUCAGGAGCCAUUUUCGGUUGGGACAAGAACACCUCGGCCAAUUGGGUCUCAACGAUCCAAACUCUAAGAACUGAAAACGCUGUGUAUCCUGGGCGUCAGGUUUAUGAUUUGUUGAGAUGAUUUCUCCGUUUUGCUCACGAACGAAAUUAGAGUGUUCACAUGUGGAGCCAGGACGUUCGGGCAGCUGCGAUACGGGACCUGCGGUAAUGAAAUACUGCCACGUGACGGUUCUAGAGCUGAUAGAAAGCAAACCCAAAUUGGGUGCGGUCGAAGGCAGAAAUCGGAAUCGAUCUCGACGGACUUAAUCAAUUCCUUGGUAGCCUCCCCGGCGAAUGUGGAAAUGUUAUUAUUGGAUGGUAUGCGAGACUCUGGUCGCCGGAUACCAUACACUGUGGUACCGUUCUUACGAAAAAUAGUUUUUUUUUACGGAUUAGGUUCUGAUUAAAUAAAU
Uranotaenia lowii is the source of this 3907-nucleotide RNA transcript. RefSeq lists it as uncharacterized. Lineage: Eukaryota; Metazoa; Arthropoda; Insecta; Diptera; Culicidae. The record is from RefSeq and is a predicted model, not a curated record. The transcript has 12 exons.